AAAGUGCUUCCCAUUUGGAUGA
RNAcentral lists this microRNA (22 nucleotides) under Ornithorhynchus anatinus (platypus). RNAcentral describes it as "Oan-Mir-430-P61_3p (mature (guide))". Lineage: Eukaryota; Metazoa; Chordata; Mammalia; Monotremata; Ornithorhynchidae. The record is from RNAcentral.